GGAUUAAUUAGGGUUUAAAAUAAUUUACCGGUAAUUAUGAUUUUACUUGGGCUAUAGAUUGGCUUUUAUUAUGUGGUAAUUAGGUUAAUCGAAGUGUAUAUAUAAAUGAAUCGAUUGGUAUAUGAAUAAAUUGAUUAGUCUGUCAAUGGAUUAUAUUUUGUUAUUAAUGUUGAUUCAUUCAUAUGGGGUUAUAGAAUUCUAAUAGGUUUCAAUGUCCUCAUUCUUACCCUAUAUAAAGGGUUAAACAUUGGUAGGCAGCAAUAUAUAUAUAUAUAUCCUUAUCAUAUUAGUUAAUGUGUUAAUGUUGUUCUUUAAGCACAUUCGAUUGUCCUAUUAAUUUUGUGCUUCAUUGUAAUUGUGGUGUUUUAAUUAAUGCUAUAUUGGAUUUAUAAUGAUCGAUCCAUGGGUUUCUUUGAGCUUCUAUCCGUUUGAAUGAAUGAUUUGGUUACCUUUGAAGUGUGCUAAUAGAUCCACUAGAAUUGGGGAAUCCUGCUCACAUUUUCUACUAAAGUAAUAAUCAUUAGGUGGCUGCUGAAUUGGGGAAUCCUGCUCGCUAAUGUAAUUUGGGAUUUCUUUACUUCGAGGACAAACUGGUAUUUACGAGUUGCAGAGGGUGGAUAUGGGCGUGCAGUGUAUAAUGUAUCAUUGUGCUACUCUUUAGUGAGGGGGUUCUCGCAAAACCAUAAGCAAUCAAGGAUAUGGAUGAAUCCUGCUGCUGAUUAUGGACAUAUUCAUCAUUCAUGUAGUUCUGUUAUGUAUUUGAAAAGGCGAGGUGGUAUUUACGAGUUGCAGGAGGUGGAUAUGGGAUUGUGAAGUGUAUAAUGUAUCAUUGUGCUACUCUUUAGGGAGGGGGUUCUUGCAAAUCCAUAAGCAAUCAAGGAAAUGGUUGAAGCUUGCUGCUGAUCAUGGACAUAGAAAACCUCAGUUUGAGCAUGGACUUACUAUAGUUUUGUCAACUACAACUACAGUUAACAGUUUUGUUAUUAGUAUACUGUUCCUUUUUUGAGGGAAAAACAAAAUAAUACUCCCUCCGUCCCAUUUGACUUUCAAACAUUAAUUAUAAUAUGCUCUCUAUGGUUUUAUUAUUUUGUUUUUAUGUACUUUUAUAAAUAUGCCUAAAUGGCAUAUGUAUGGUUCAUUUUCUUUCUUUCCAUCUUCAUAAUAUCUGCAAUAAGCUUUGGCCAAUCGUUGAAAGUGCAUUCAAAGAGUCAAGGGAUAAAGAGAUUUUAUUAACGGGUCAACUCUGAUUGAAUAGCUGGAAACAGAAUCAAGCCUCGAAACCGGUCGGUAUGCGCCCUGUAUAUGUAGUUGUUAGGGACUACGGAUUAUUCGUGCUUUAGGAGUUGUCAUAUACUAAUGCAACUGUACGUUUAAUGAAAUGAUGAAUCUUUAUUUACCAAAAGUUAAAAGGAGUAAAGGGAAUGUAAAGUUAAGUUUGUUAAAACCAAAUUUGGAUUUAGUCCGAUCAAUUUUGAACGAAUGCUUUUAUAGGGACUAAUUAGGUGCUAUUUGAAGAUAGUUGAACAAUGUCAUAGACACUGGGUUACUAGCUCUCUUAGCUUGUCUUCUCUAAGGUUACCCUACUGUCUAUUUCCCAUGUGACAAUUUACCAUACUAUGUAUAUCAGCUGCUCUAUCUCAUACAUUUUUUUGGAUGUUGCUGUAUACGUGUCGGUGAGUCCAGCUAGCCAAUCACAAUUGUGUAACCGAAGUUAAGUUCACUAAUGCCCACGUCCAUUUCCUAGUUAUACUCCUAAAACUGAGGACAAGGCGGCUAUGAAGGCUAUUUUGGGGAUUACUUUGACAAGGAUGUCGAUAGAUUGAAGACAUGGAGGAACUUCUGUUGUAGUCCCCUGCACAAACAGUAGGAGGAAAAAUCAAAUAUCUAAGCGUCGCAUUGGGCAAAAACUUAGAAAUGAGACAAUUGGCAAAGAAUUUGGGUGCAUGAACUUUCGAUGGGGGCUAUGGACAGUUUGUUUACUUGGAAAGUAUAUUUUUCUGUAUAAGAAUGAGCAGCCUACUAUGUAAAAAAGGAAAUGUAGUAAUUCAUUUGUACUUAAAGUUUCAACUUUUCAGACUCACACAAUAUAGAACACUGCUGCAAAUGUCAGACCCAGUCAAGAUUAUUCAGGUACAUUUAUAUAUGGACUCCAUUAGAGGCCAACGAAAAAUAAAAGAAAAAACUCAUUCUGAAACAGGUUCAAAGAAUGGUUAAUGGAGCUGUAAAGUUUGUAAAGGAAGACAAGGAAAAGAGAGAUGCCAUAGACACAAAGAACCAUGCAGACUUAGUUGUGUACCAAACAGAGAAGCGGCUUAGAGAAAGAGAAACUAUGCCACCUUCGCUUCUACCUGCAAGACAUUAUGGCAGCCAAACUUCUGUCCGGGUGGCUGAGACCGCCAUGACCAACACCUCCAAAACCGCAUUUGGAGCUACCAUCAUACUUGACGACGCAUUAAACAAUUGGCAUCGAAAGAACCUCCAAGAUUGUAGGAAGUGCACAAGGGAUAUAUGCAUUUGCUGACUUAAAUGGUUAAUGGUACUAAAUUAGGGAGGUAUCCACCAUUGACUUCGGUCAGAGAGAUGCCGAUUGUUGGUGGAAGUGGGCUUUUCCGAUUAGAUGCUCAUGAUAUGGUUUUAUGAAAUGACUUUCAUCAGCUAUUUCAAAAACCGGUAAAAAAAAUACAUGCAAACAAUAUAUUUAGGGAUAAUGACAUACGAAUGUAACUACCUAUAACCAAAUGGUUAUAUAAUGUAGUGACCUAUUCAGGUGGCUAUAAUGUAUGCACUUAUGUUUUCUUAACUAUACUAUUGUAACGACCAAACUCCGUGUAAGAUAAUAUAAAAGUUAUAAGAUUUUUUUUUUUU
Erigeron canadensis is the source of this 2865-nucleotide RNA transcript. It is a transcript of the gene named stromal 70 kDa heat shock-related protein, chloroplastic-like, with no coding region annotated. The transcript is spliced from 7 exons. The record is from RefSeq and is a predicted model, not a curated record. NCBI's taxonomy places the organism in Eukaryota, Viridiplantae, Streptophyta, Magnoliopsida, Asterales, Asteraceae.